UUGAGUGGCAAGGUAUUAUCAUGGCGUCCGUAGGCUGCUUAUAUUUCACUUUGUUGAUUUGACAAAUGUGGCAUGAACGAACGUAUCGAUUGACGUCGUCUUUCAUGUGAGACCACGUAAAUCUCUUGACUAGCUUGUUGUAGGUGCGCCAAAAUCCGUCGUGUCCUCCAGAUUCUGGGCUAUCGUGGUACAAAUAAAGCACCCUGGAAACCAGCGUUGGCGGGACUUGAUAGCGACCUUCCCUAAAAAUCAAUUGUUCAGUGCCUUCCCACAAUUUAAUUUCAUUGAUUUCUGCCGAUUGUUCGUUGUUGGCCUGUAUCAUCAGUCUACACAAUGCAUCUGCAUCAGUCAAAAGGGGUCCAGCUCUGUGGGAGAUGGUGAAAUCGAACUGCUGCAAAUAGUUCACCCAUCUGGCGAUACGUCCCUUAGGUUGGGUCAUAUUCAAGAGAUGAGUGAGGGCUUGGUGAUCGGUGAACAAAGUAAACUUCGCACCUUCUAGGUACGUACGGAAGUACUGAAUUGCUUUGAGGACUGCAAGAGCUUCCUUUUCAGUAGUGGUGUAGUUGACUUCAGGUGGCUUGAGGGUGUAGCUGUAGUAACCUACUACGUGUCGCUUUUCUCGGCCGGAUGCUUCUGGACAUUUCUGGUACAAGACUGCACCUGUCCCAUAGUGUGAGGCGUCGGUAUUCAGUUCAAAAGGGUAAAGUGAAAUCUGGUAUGCGUAGAAUAGGGUCAGCAGAUAUUCUGUGCACCAGAUCACGGUAGACUCUCUCACAUUCCUCAUUCCACUCAAAUGGAACUUCUUUCUGUGUUAGGCGCGUGAGGCAUCUUGUUUUGAUGGCAAAGUCUUUUAUGAAGGGCCUGAAAUGUCCUGCUAAUCCCAAAAAUACACGCAAUGAGUGUACGUCAUAUGGUUUUACCAGUUGGGAUAUCCUCUCGACGGACUCUUGUUUCGUGCUUUUGGUAGUCCCAUCAAAGACUCUUCCAAGAAACACCACUUUUCUUUGAAAGAACGCACUUUUCUUAAAAUUAACCUUGAGGUGUGCCAAGCUCAAGGCAUUUAAUACCUGGGACAGGUGUGCCUGAUGCUCCGUCUCUGUUUUGGAGAAGACGAUAAUAUCGUCUAUGUACACGUUACAAAAGACACCUAGGAAAGGCUUCAGGACUUCGUUCAUAAUCUUCUGGAACCAUGCUGGUGAGUUUUUCCAGCCGAAAGGAAGCCGGUUAUACUCGUACAGGUCGAAGGGCGUGAUAAAAGCAGUGUACAUUUUUGUUUCUUCGGUUAGCGGGAUCUGCCAGAAACCUUUGCACAAGUCAAUACGUGAAAAACAUCGGCAACCACCUGUCUCAUCUAUAAUCGUGUCUAUCUUCGGCAUGGGAAAUGGUAUAAGUUCUGUCUGUCGGUUGAGAACCCUGUAAUCUGUGCGCAGUCUGAAAGUUCCAUCUUCUUUCGGCGCAAUAGUUAUGGGAGAGGCGAAGGGUGACACCGAAGGCCGGAUUAUAUUGGCGUCUAGCAUCUCCUGCAAUUCCUUCUUCAACCAUAUCUUGCGCUCUCUUGACAUGUUGUAAGGUGAUUUUCGGAUGACGGUCUUGUCGGUGAGUUCGAAAGGCACCUUGUGUGACGUCAUCGCCGGUGGAUAGCUUCCUAUGCAUACUAGUUCAGGAUAGGUCGUUGCAAUAUCCUCCGCGCAAUUGACAACUCGCAGGUUAUCCUUUCUAUCCGGCUGUGUCUCUUGCCUUGAUAGUCCUUCCACUAAAACCGCAUCGUCCCAGUAUACGUUGAUUUUUAGUUUCUUUAUAUCUGGUCUGGAUAGCAGAAAGUCAUACGUCACCCCCUCAAUCACCAGUACUUCACUCGCUAUUUCAUGACCUUGGAACUCUAUGUUUACUGAGGCCCACUGAUUUUGCAUUGUCACUUUUCCAUCGUAGCCUUGCACCCGCAGUACUCUUCCACUAUGCAGGUGACUUGCAUCUACCAGCUUGGCAUUUAUUAUAGACACAGAAGCACCGCUGUCAACCAAAGCCAUCAUGUGUCUGUUUCCCACUUUCACAGGGAUGUGAAGUAGGCUAGAGCAAGUUAAAUAAACAGUCUCAGUUGUGGUCAUCGGGUCGGACUGAUCACCCUUGUUUAUCAGUUUUUUGUCGUCGGAGCCUCUUCAGCGUCCGAAAGUAGGGGAACAGGGUCGCUGUCGAUGUUAUGCACCCGACCUCUGGGAGCGCGCCAACCCAAGCUCUCUGUGCCGCCUGCAAGGCGGCGCGGUUCUCGCUGAUUACGGCUUGACCAAUCCGUGCCGGACCGUGUGAAGUGACCGCUUGAGCUAGCGUUUAUAUUUUCUUCUGAAGUAAAUGAUAUGUCGUGAAGGCACUACAGGAGCCCGUCCAUAGUUUUAGGUGACCGUAGUUGCACUUGCUUCAGGACUUGCGCGUGCAGUCCGUGAAUUAUUAGUGCUACUACGGCAGACGGAGGAAGCAUAGGCUCGGCCAGCUUUAAAAGGCGGCAUUUGUCAAAGAAAUACUCUACGAGGGAGCCUUGCUUGAAUUUGAAAUUAAGCGCGGCGUCCCACCUUUGCACUGGGUUGCUUCGGAAUGUCGUCAAGAAUUUUUCUUUCCACUGAUUCCAAGAGUUGCCAGCCUCUUCAAUAAUGUGCAAAUCAUACCACUUCCGUGCAACACCGCUUAAGUAACUACGCAUGUUAGUAAUCUUGUCCUCAUUAGAGUGCCAGUUGUUCUUUCCAGCGGCAUAUUCAUAGAAUUCAAGCCAACCUUCUGGACUUGAUGACAUGCCGUCGAAUGCAUCAGGUUCUACAAAUUUAGUCACUGGCUUCUCAGCGUUUAAAGAGCUUAUAAGCGAUGUCACCAGCUGGUUUUGUUGCGAAAUCUGUUCUUGUUGUAGCCGAAGUGCUUUCAAAACGAGGCUCACCUCUUCCGUCGACGACUGUGAUCCAGAGUCCUUCCGACGCAUCGGUUGAAGAACUAAUUCGUCGAAGAUCACCAGAGGCAAGUUCACGUUCACAGCACCCUUCCGACGUAGUUCAUCAGGGUCCAUGGAAGCCUUCUCUAAAACCAGGUUCAUGAGUUCUGCCGAGUUGAGUUCGCGAGGUAGUUCCACCGCUGGUUCAUCUUCAGCUUGGUAUCUCGAAAAGAUGAUCUUGUCCACGGAGGUCUCCUCAAGGAAAAAUCUCACCCACAUGUUGGAGUUCGCUGUCGGCUGCGCCAAAAUAAUGUAGCGUCCCUACUUAAAGGACACAGUAAACGUGAAGCAUUGCUGUGGAACUGGCGUCCAUCUUGUCUACCUUUUAUUCUCACUUCCUUCUUCUCUUCUCCUGAACCCAGACUCCUGCGCUUCUUCAUCUUCUAUUCCAAGGCUCAUACCGCUUCAUGCUAUGUACGUAAAUUUUACAACGCUACUCAUUCGAAGUGCAUACAGGUGCAUACUGAAGAAAAGUUUUCCAGGGUACAUAAUUUAGUGCGUAAUUUACACUAAUUUUGCUCUAACCACAAGACAUAAUAAUUUGAAUAUACUGCACGGAAAAACCUAGAGCGAAUUAAAUUGUGUGUCAGCUUCGUGUGUAUAGAUAUAGUCUUUCCUAUGCAUUAGGUUUUUCACGUAAUGCAUUACCAGUUGACAGCCUAUCUUAUGUGUACUCUGUUUACAUUACAGUUGUUUAUUAGUUUACUCAUUUGUUUUGCAACUUAUGAAAUGCCGGUGUAUAUAUAUUUUCAACAUUUGACAUAAUCCUGUAUGUUUUGUUGGGACAACCCAUGACGUGCAUUUCUCAGCACCCAGUCAACUGCCAGAAGUGACUCGAACACAGGCCACCAGUGGCACUCGGCUGUACCACUGCAGUGCUGCGGAAAUUGCCAGCACCAGCGGCUUUGCAACAGCUGUUUCACAGCAUGUCGGAGACAAUGCCUACGAAAUUAUUGGCCCUGAUGACGAGAGCCCUCAAGGGGCAAACGACAUCUCUGUUGCAGAAGUGAGCCCGAUACCACCUGAAGUUACCAUGACAGGUGGCACGGCAGCAAUAGAUACAGAGACGGCCAUGUCUACUGCAGCUGCAACAGUGUACGAGGCAAGCAGCAGUGUGUCAGCAUCAGCAGCAGUGUCAGAAGGAACCGCACCAGGCCUGGUAGAGCAACAUGUGUGCUAUCACUGUGACUUUUUUUGUAGUGCAUUUGCUCAACAUACAAAAGCUUUUCACCAUGA
This is a long non-coding RNA of Dermacentor albipictus, 4207 nucleotides long. RefSeq lists it as uncharacterized. The record is from RefSeq and is a predicted model, not a curated record. Lineage: Eukaryota; Metazoa; Arthropoda; Arachnida; Ixodida; Ixodidae.